UACGUAGGGUGCGAGCGUUAAUCGGAAUUACUGGGCGUAAAGGGUGCGCAGGCGGUUCUGCAAGUCAGGCGUGAAAUCCCCGGGCUUAACCUGGGAAUGGCGCUUGAAACUACGGGACUGGAGUAUGGCAGAGGGAGGUGGAAUUCCACGUGUAGCGGUGAAAUGCGUAGAGAUGUGGAGGAACACCGGUGGCGAAGGCAGCCUCCUGGGCCAAUACUGACGCUCAUGCACGAAAGCGUGGGGAGCAAACAGG
This 253-nucleotide ribosomal RNA is filed under the name uncultured bacterium. Its description in RNAcentral is "partial 16S ribosomal RNA". It matches the Rfam family "Bacterial small subunit ribosomal RNA", at positions 524 to 776 of the family's 1533-position model. The record is from RNAcentral.